This 426-nucleotide ribosomal RNA is filed under the name uncultured Rhodocyclaceae bacterium. Its description in RNAcentral is "bacterial SSU rRNA". It matches the Rfam family "Bacterial small subunit ribosomal RNA", at positions 356 to 774 of the family's 1533-position model. Lineage: Bacteria; Pseudomonadati; Pseudomonadota; Betaproteobacteria; Rhodocyclales; Rhodocyclaceae. The record is from RNAcentral.
GGGGAAUUUUGGACAAUGGGGGCAACCCUGAUCCAGCCAUGCCGCGUGAGUGAAGAAGGCCUUCGGGUUGUAAAGCUCUUUCGGCGGGGAAGAAAUGGCAACGGCUAAUAUCCUGCGCGGAUGACGGUACCUUGACAAGAAGCACCGGCUAACUACGUGCCAGCAGCCGCGGUAAUACGUAGGGUGCGAGCGUUAAUCGGAAUUACUGGGCGUAAAGCGUGCGCAGGCGGUUGUGUAAGACAGGUGUGAAAUCCCCGGGCUCAACCUGGGAACUGCGUUUGUGACUGCAUCACUCGAGUACGGCAGAGGGAGGUGGAAUUCCGCGUGUAGCAGUGAAAUGCGUAGAUAUGCGGAGGAACACCGAUGGCGAAGGCAGCCUCCUGGGCCUGUACUGACGCUCAUGCACGAAAGCGUGGGGAGCAAACA